CCUACGGGUGACAGCAGUGGGGAAUAUUGCGCAAUGGGCGCAAGCCUGACCCAGCAACGCCGCGUGAAGGAAGAAGGCUUUCGGGUUGUAAACUUCUUUUGUCAGGGAAGAGUAGAAGACGGUACCUGACGAAUAAGCCACGGCUAACUACGUGCCAGCAGCCGCGGUAAUACGUAGGUGGCAAGCGUUGUCCGGAUUUACUGGGUGUAAAGGGCGUGUAGCCGGGUUGACAAGUCAGAUGUGAAAUCCUGCGGCUUAACCGAAGAACUGCAUUUGAAACUGUUGAUCUUGAGUACUGGAGAGGAAGACGGAAUUCCUAGUGUAGCGGUGAAAUGCGUAGAUAUUAGGAGGAACACCAGUGGCGAAGGCGGUCUGCUGGACAGCAACUGACGGUGAGGCGCGAAAGCGUGGGGAGCAAACAGGAUUAGAUACCCCAGUAGUC
RNAcentral lists this ribosomal RNA (442 nucleotides) under uncultured bacterium. RNAcentral describes it as "partial 16S ribosomal RNA". It matches the Rfam family "Bacterial small subunit ribosomal RNA", at positions 338 to 795 of the family's 1533-position model. The record is from RNAcentral.